This 74-nucleotide transfer RNA is filed under the name bacterium. RNAcentral describes it as "tRNA-Val". It matches the Rfam family "tRNA". From Rfam's summary of the family: Transfer RNA (tRNA) molecules are approximately 80 nucleotides in length. Their secondary structure includes four short double-helical elements and three loops (D, anti-codon, and T loops). Further hydrogen bonds mediate the characteristic L-shaped molecular structure. tRNAs have two regions of fundamental functional importance: the anti-codon, which is responsible for specific mRNA codon recognition, and the 3' end, to which the tRNAs corresponding amino acid is attached (by aminoacyl-tRNA synthetases). tRNAs cope with the degeneracy of the genetic code in two manners: having more than one tRNA (with a specific anti-codon) for a particular amino acid; and 'wobble' base-pairing, i.e. permitting non-standard base-pairing at the 3rd anti-codon position. The record is from RNAcentral.
GGGUGAUUAGCUCAGUUGGCUAGAGCAUCUCGUUUACACCGAGAGGGUCGGGGGUUCGAGUCCCUCAUCACCCA